Molecule: ribosomal RNA, 319 nt
Filed under: uncultured marine eukaryote
Lineage: Eukaryota
Description: SSU rRNA
Rfam family: Eukaryotic small subunit ribosomal RNA
Source: RNAcentral
GGGGCAUCAGUAUUCUGAAGCGAGAGGUGAAAUUCUUGGACCUUCGGAAGACUAACAACUGCGAAAGCAUUUGCCUAGGAUGUUCUCUUUAAUCAAGAACGAAAGUUGGGGGAUCGAAGACGAUCAGAUACCGUCGUAGUCUCAACUAUAAACUAUGCCAGCUAGGGAUUGGUGGAUGUUUGUUUACGACUCCAUCAGCACCUUAUGAGAAAUCAAAGCAUUUGGGUUCCGGGGGGAGUAUGGUCGCAAGGCUGAAAACUUAAAGGAAUUGACGGGAGGGCACCACCAGGGAGUGGAGCCUGUGGCUUAAUUUGACUCA